AGAGUUUGAUCCUGGCUCAGAAUCAACGCUGGCGGCGCGCCUAACACAUGCAAGUCGCACGAGAAAGCGGGAGCAAUCUCGCAAGUAAAGUGGCGUACGGGUGAGUAACACGUGGAUCAUCUACCCUGGAGUGGGGAAUAACGCUGGGAAACCGGCGCUAAUACCGCAUAUACCCGAGAGGGGAAAGCAGCAAUGCGCUCGAGGAGGAGUCCGCGGCCGAUUAGCUAGUUGGCAGGGUAAAAGCCUACCAAGGCUGUGAUCGGUAGCCGGCCUGAAAGGGCACACGGCCACACUGGCACUGAAACACGGGCCAGACUCCUACGGGAGGCAGCAGUGGGGAAUCUUGCACAAUGGGGGAAACCCUGAUGCAACGACGCCGCGUGAGCGAUGAAGCCCUUCGGGGUGUAAAGCUCUUUCGGCAGGGAAGAUUAUGACGGUACCUGCAGAAGCAGCUGCGGCUAACUACGUGCCAACAGCCGCGGUAAUACGUAGGCAGCAAGCGUUGUUCGGAGUUACUGGGCGUAAAGGGUGUGUAGGUGGCGCGCUAAGUUCCGUGUGAAAUCUCCCGGCUCAACCGGGAGGGUGCGCGGAAAACUGGCGGGCUAGAGUACGGGAUGGGAGAGUAGAAUUCCUGGUGUAGCGGUGAAAUGCGUAUAUAUCACGAGGAAUACCGGUGGUGUAGACGGCUCUCUGGACCGUAACUGACACUGAAACACGAAAGCGUGGGUAGCAAACAGGAUUAGAUACCCUGGUAGUCCACGCCCUAAACGAUGCAUAUUUGGUGUACGUCAUUCAGUUGAUCUGUGCCGGAGCUAACGCGUUAAAUAUGCCGCCUGGGGAGUACAGUCGCAAGGCUGAAACUCAAGGAAUUGACGGGGCCCGCAUAGGCGGUGGAGCAUGUGGUUCAGUUCGACGCACGCGAAGGACCUUACUUGGGCU
This 939-nucleotide ribosomal RNA is filed under the name uncultured bacterium. RNAcentral's name for it is "bacterial SSU rRNA". It matches the Rfam family "Bacterial small subunit ribosomal RNA", at positions 8 to 981 of the family's 1533-position model. The record is from RNAcentral.